CGCCGGGAGAGGACAAAAUUGCACAGCAUCCUGAGCGGGCCAGGCAGGGGGCUCUGCUGGCACCAUCUCUGUGCCACCUUCUAAACUCCAUGCCAACACUGCUGGGUCUUCAUUCAGCCCUUCUACACUGAUAGUGGCACAGCCAGCUAUCUGGUGAUCUGCCUGGGGCACCAGAGCUGCCCAAGGCGCACUGCCUACGACAGCCACUGUUUCCUCUGCUGGUAAUUUUUCCAGUUUAGUCACUGCGUGAUCUUGAGGUUCUGAAGAGGUCAAGGCACAUAGCUCCGUGAGCUGCUGACUGGCACACCACACGACUUCUGGAGCUGAAUUCAGGUCGCUAAGGCUACUCAUCAAUAGCUCUGAACCUUCUAACCAGGUGCUGGUGGAUGUAGUCAAUACGUUUCCCACUACUGGAGCACCCUCACUGGCUGAUGAACUCCCUGCUCCUUCCUCCACCCACUGCUGGAGCAGGGCUUCUUGCUCUUCUUGGACCAACUUUCCUCUGGUUGCAGCAAAGAUGCCUUCUAUCUGGGUGGACGUGCUCUUCGCCAGAAGCACAUUCUUUUGACAGGUAAAGAAAGCAUCGCGCCGCGGCCGUCCCGUCGCCGGGCCGUCUCGGGCACGGGCCUCGCUGCGCGCCGCGCCGGGCCGGCCCCGGCAGGUCGGGGCAGGCGUGUGGGAUGGCCCCGGCCGGGGUGGGGCCGGGACCGGGGCCGGGCUGCCGCGGGGCUGGGUGACGGCGCUGACGCCGGGCGGCCGGGUCGGUCCGCAAGCCGGGAGGAGUGCUUUGAAAUGAAAGUUUGCGCUCUGUGCUCCAGAAGCCUACAAAAGUUGUAAUCCCCUGGAAAAGCACCACAUAAAGUCCCUUCUGGUCCCAGGCGGUUCGUAAUUACAGUUCACUACAGGUCUUGCAAACCUGUAACCACAAUAGUCAACGCCUUGCAGGAAACAGGCUGUGCGGACAGACCUCAUGGGCAGCACGUUGAAGCACCAGCGCAGGAAAGCGUUCUCCUUUGGUUUGCUCACAGCAUGUCACAGCUCUACAAAACCACUCCAUCUGAUCAGCUGUGAGCACACUGUGAGCGCCUUGUGGCCGUAAGAAGCUGAGGCCUGUCAUGCUGCAACCAGACAGGCCUCAGCUCCCAGUUCCAAAGUCCUGCUUGAGCUACGUGUUUAAUAUUUUGUUUUAUUCUGCAUUUGGCUGUGCACAACACCCAAAGGCAAACAUGAAACUGAGCAUCACUGCAGCUCUUUACACCAAAUAUAUACUUCUAAUGUAUCACAGUAAUAUAAAGAAUUAUCAAAUCUAACUCAACUGAACUGCGAUGUCCAUUAAAAUUACCCUUGUCAUCUGGUAGGGGGCAUUUUGAUCCUAUAUCCAUAGUGAUUAUUGCCUCUCACUUGCUAGAGGCUGGUUUCUGCUUCAAGUUAAAAGCUUCUCAUAUUUUCAGAGUAAUGAUUUGUGCCACCCGAGGUGUUUCCCUUCCCGCUUGGGAAGGACACCCAGCACGCCUCUGGAGGGCGAUCUCCGUAACCCUCUUCCAAACUCCCUUAAAGACGGGCUCUUGCAAUUAGGUCAACAAGACUCAUGCUGUCCCUGCCUCUGCGCCAACCAGUGCUACCAGGCUGUCCCUCGGAUGGGUUAUCAUAUGGGUUAUCUAUGGUUAUCAUAGAAUCAUUAAGGUUGAAAAAGACCACUAAGAUAAUUUAGUCCAGCCAUCAGCACACCACCACCAGGCCCACUAAGCCAUAUCACUCAGCGCCACAUCUACACUGUUUUUGAA
RNAcentral lists this long non-coding RNA (1784 nucleotides) under Gallus gallus (chicken). Lineage: Eukaryota; Metazoa; Chordata; Aves; Galliformes; Phasianidae. The record is from RNAcentral.